UGUAGACCUCCGUGUGAAUUUGG
This 23-nucleotide non-coding RNA is filed under the name Cricetulus griseus (Chinese hamster). Lineage: Eukaryota; Metazoa; Chordata; Mammalia; Rodentia; Cricetidae. The record is from RNAcentral.